GGGGGGGGGGGGGGGGGGGGGGGGGGGGUGGGGGGCGGGGGGGCGGGCGGGGGGGGGGGGGGGCGGGUGUUGGCGGCGGGCGGGUGGGGAACGCGUGGAUAGCCUACCUCUAAGAGUGGGAUAACUUCGGGAAACCGGAGCUAAUACCGGAUGAUAUUUUGAACCGCAUGGUUCAAAAGUGAAAGACGGUCUUGCUGUCACUUAUAGAUGGAUCCGCGCUGCAUUAGCUAGUUGGUAAGGUAACGGCUUACCAAGGCAACGAUGCAUAGCCGACCUGAGAGGGUGAUCGGCCACACUGGAACUGAGACACGGUCCAGACUCCUACGGGAGGCAGCAGUAGGGAAUCUUCCGCAAUGGGCGAAAGCCUGACGGAGCAACGCCGCGUGAGUGAUGAAGGUCUUCGGAUCGUAAAACUCUGUUAUUAGGGAAGGACAUAUGUGUAAGUAACUGUGCACAUCUUGACGGUACCUAAUCAGAAAGCCACGGCUAACUACGUG
Molecule: ribosomal RNA, 497 nt
Filed under: uncultured bacterium
Lineage: Bacteria
Description: partial 16S ribosomal RNA
Rfam family: Bacterial small subunit ribosomal RNA (bases 59-497)
Source: RNAcentral